GUGAACUGAGAUCACAAAGGUGAGUUGGGCAAACACAGUUAUGGAUUCUGAGUAAUAUUUCAUUGCCAAUCAAAGUAACGACUUUCUUUUGCUUGCCCUUUUUCUUUCCCUCUCUCACUUUGAUUUAUACCCUGGAGUUUUGCUCAGUGAUUUUUCAGAAGCUUCAGAGAACUCAAAAUAAACAUGUUUAGUGUUGAAUGGAUUCAUCUUCUUUUUUCCCCUAAGUAAGUUCUUUGCCGUGUUCAUAGAGCUGCCAUUCAGCCCGUCUGUCUCUUGAUGACAGCCUCAUCUAUCGUCCUGAAACUAGAGCUGUCCAAGGCAGAGACAUGCUUUCGGAGGAAGUGCAAGUUGCUUGUACGGAGUAGUGGCAGUAACAAGCCCUUAAAAUUGUCUGCCCUCAGGGUUAGGAAAUGUGUCUUAUCUAGGCCACUGGUCAAGUUACCACAGCUGUAUGAGCAAAAGUCUAGGCUUGUCUGAAAGUCUGUUGGUGACAGUGGGGGGUUGUGCAGGGACAGGGUCCAGGUGCAAGGUCAGGGUCCAAGUUUGGGAAAUACCUCCUGUAUUGACUCUGCACAUCAUAGGUACACUUCACUUCAGAUGAAAACAUCAAAUUGUGCACAAAAGAUAGCUUCUGACGUAUGUUAUAACUAGAAUUGUAAAGCACCAAAAGGAGCUGGAGCUUUCAAUCAGGCCUUGCAAUCGAUUUCAGCCUGCGUUCUCAGAGCUGGGGCCACCUCCUGCUUUCUAUGGAAGUUCCUGCUCUGCUGAGACGGAGAUGCUUCUGCCCGGAUCCAAGGAGGAAUCGUCAGGGCCUGGGAGACAACAGAGAGCUGAAGCAAGGGCAGGACCAGCACAGCUGCUGCAUGGGCGGGACAAGGUUGCUGGGUUUAAAGGUGCCCCGAAGGCUGGGGGAAGAAGCACCUCCUCCCUUUUCUGCACGUCCAAAAAUCCAAGAACACUAGAGCCCAGCGACAAUUCUGGGAGCAAUUCACAAGGAUAUCCCUUUUUUAUUAACUUACAUUUGGUCUAAGUUAAUGACUUUUUUUUUUUUUAAGUGGUGAUAAAAGCACUUAGAUCUGUAAUUGAGAGCAGAAUUCAAAGCUUUGCAUCUGUGGCUGGAGACAGCAAAAUCCCGGCUGCAGUUGCUAUCGACAGAAAGUCCCUCCUGGUAAUGGUAUCACUCCUCAGUCCUCACCUAUUUGGCCAAAGCUCAGCCAGCUCAGUCCGACAGCACAGUCUCCAAAGUGGAGAGGGCGUAUCAGAGCGAGCAACUGAAUGGUUAGAAAAUAAUCAACGGAAGGCUUCUUUGGACCUCUUUUUCUCUCACAUCAAAAGCUAUCUUUACCAGAAAAUUCCCUGGGAAACUUCUGGACUGG
Molecule: long non-coding RNA, 1376 nt
Filed under: Struthio camelus australis
Lineage: Eukaryota; Metazoa; Chordata; Aves; Struthioniformes; Struthionidae
Description: lncRNA (ENSSCUG00000011091.1)
Source: RNAcentral